GACGAACGCUGGCGGCGUGCCUAAUACAUGCAAGUAGAACGCUGAAGAGAGGAGCUUGCUCUUCUUGGAUGAGUUGCGAACGGGUGAGUAACGCGUAGGUAACCUGCCUUGUAGCGGGGGAUAACUAUUGGAAACGAUAGCUAAUACCGCAUAACAAUGGAUGACACAUGUCAUUUAUUUGAAAGGGGCAAUUGCUCCACUACAAGAUGGACCUGCGUUGUAUUAGCUAGUAGGUGAGGUAAUGGCUCACCUAGGCGACGAUACAUAGCCGACCUGAGAGGGUGAUCGGCCACACUGGGACUGAGACACGGCCCAGACUCCUACGGGAGGCAGCAGUAGGGAAUCUUCGGCAAUGGGGGCAACCCUGACCGAGCAACGCCGCGUGAGUGAAGAAGGUUUUCGGAUCGUAAAGCUCUGUUGUAAGUCAAGAACGGGUGUGAGAGUGGAAAGUUCACACUGUGACGGUAGCUUACCAGAAAGGGACGGCUAACUACGUGCCAGCAGCCGCGGUAAUAUGUAGGUCCCGAGCGUUGUCCGGAUUUAUUGGGCGUAAAGCGAGCGCAGGCGGUUUGAUAAGUCUGAAGUUAAAGGCUGUGGCUCAACCAUAGUUCGCUUUGGAAACUGUCAAACUUGAGUGCAGAAGGGGAGAGUGGAAUUCCAUGUGUAGCGGUGAAAUGCGUAGAUAUAUGGAGGAACACCGGUGGCGAAAGCGGCUCUCUGGUCUGUAACUGACGCUGAGGCUCGAAAGCGUGGGGAGCGAACAGGAUUAGAUACCCUGGUAGUCCACGCCGUAAACGAUGAGUGCUAGGUGUUGGAUCCUUUCCGGGAUUCAGUGCCGCAGCUAACGCAUUAAGCACUCCGCCUGGGGAGUACGACCGCAAGGUUGAAACUCAAAGGAAUUGACGGGGGCCCGCACAAGCGGUGGAGCAUGUGGUUUAAUUCGAAGCAACGCGAAGAACCUUACCAGGUCUUGACAUCCCGAUGCUAUUUCUAGAGAUAGAAAGUUACUUCGGUACAUCGGUGACAGGUGGUGCAUGGUUGUCGUCAGCUCGUGUCGUGAGAUGUUGGGUUAAGUCCCGCAACGAGCGCAACCCCUAUUGUUAGUUGCCAUCAUUCAGUUGGGCACUCUAGCGAGACUGCCGGUAAUAAACCGGAGGAAGGUGGGGAUGACGUCAAAUCAUCAUGCCCCUUAUGACCUGGGCUACACGCGUGCUACAAUGGUUGGUACAACGAGUUGCGAGUCGGUGACGGCGAGCUAAUCUCUUAAAGCCAAUCUCAGUUCGGAUUGUAGGCUGCAACUCGCCUACAUGAAGUCGGAAUCGCUAGUAGUCGCGGAUCAGCACGCCGCGGUGAAUACGUUCCCGGGCCU
RNAcentral lists this ribosomal RNA (1369 nucleotides) under uncultured bacterium. RNAcentral's name for it is "bacterial SSU rRNA". It matches the Rfam family "Bacterial small subunit ribosomal RNA", at positions 28 to 1381 of the family's 1533-position model. The record is from RNAcentral.